ACAGCCGUACCAUGCUGAAUAUACCGGUUCUCGUUAGAUCACCGAAGUCAAGCAUCAUUGGGCGUGGUCAGUACUUGGGUGGGUGACCACCGGGGAACACCGCGUGCCGUU
Molecule: ribosomal RNA, 111 nt
Filed under: Caerostris darwini
Lineage: Eukaryota; Metazoa; Arthropoda; Arachnida; Araneae; Araneidae
Source: RNAcentral